Molecule: ribosomal RNA, 1083 nt
Filed under: uncultured bacterium
Lineage: Bacteria
Description: bacterial SSU rRNA
Rfam family: Bacterial small subunit ribosomal RNA
Source: RNAcentral
ACGAGAGUUUACUCUAGUGGCGAACGGGUGCGUAAUACGUGAGAAUCUGCCCUUAGGAGGAGAAUAACCAUUGGAAACGGUGGCUAAAUCUGCAUAUGCCGAGAGGUGAAAUAGUUUAGACUGCCUAAGGAUGAGCUCGCGCCUGAUUAGCUUGUUGGUGAGGUAACGGCUUACCAAGGCCACGAUCAGUAGCUGGUUUGAGAGAACGAUCAGCCACACUGGGACUGAGACACGGCCCAGACUCCUCCGGGAGGCAGCAGUGAGGAAUCUUCCGCAAUGGGCGAAAGCCUGACGGAGCAAUACCGCGUGAGGGAUGAAGGAUUUUGGUCUGUAAACCUCUUUUCUCAAGAAAGAAGUUCUGACGGUACUUGAGGAAUAAGCGUCGGCUAACUCCGUGCCAGCAGCCGCGGUAAUACGGGGGAUGCAAGCGUUAUCCGGAAUCAUUGGGCGUAAAGCGCCUGUAGGUUGUUUAGUAAGUCUGUUGUUAAAGACUAAGGCUUAACCUUAGGAAAGCGAUGGAAACUACUAGACUUGAGUAUGGCAGGGGUAGAGGGAAUUUCUAGUGUAGCGGUGAAAUGCGUAGAUAUUAGAAAGAACACCAGCGGCGAAAGCGCUCUACUGGACCAUUACUGACACUCAGAGGCGAAAGCUAGGGGAGCAAAAGGGAUUAGAUACCCCUGUAGUCCUAGCCGUAAACGAUGGAUACUAGGUGUUGUGUAUACUAUACAGUGCCGUAGCUAACGCGUUAAGUAUCCCGCCUGGGGAGUACGCUCGCAAGGGUGAAACUCAAAGGAAUUGACGGGGGCCCGCACAAGCGGUGGAGCAUGUGGUUUAAUUCGAUGCAACGCGAAGAACCUUACCAGGGCUUGACAUACUGCAAAUCUUUUUUAAACGAAAGAGUGCCUUCGGGAAUGCAGAUACAGGUGGUGCAUGGCUGUCGUCAGCUCGUGUCGUGAGAUGUUGGGUUAAGUCCCGCAACGAGCGCAACCCUCGUUUUUAGUUACCAAUUUAUUGGAAUCUCUAGAAAGACUGCCGGUGACAAACCGGAGGAAGGUGAGGAUGACGUCAAGUCAGCAUGCCCCU